RNAcentral lists this unclassified non-coding RNA (375 nucleotides) under soil metagenome. RNAcentral describes it as "partial contains 5.8S ribosomal RNA, internal transcribed spacer 2, and large subunit ribosomal RNA". The stretch from base 1 to 120 matches the Rfam family "5.8S ribosomal RNA", at positions 35 to 154 of the family's 154-position model. The record is from RNAcentral.
GAUGAAGAACGUAGCGAAAUGCGAUACGUAGUGUGAAUUGCAGAAUUCAGUGAAUCAUCGAAUCUUUGAACGCACAUUGCGCCCGCCAGUAUUCUGGCGGGCAUGCCUGUUCGAGCGUCAUUUCAACCCUCAAGACCCCUUCGGGGGACUUGGUGUUGGGGACCGGCACAGGGGCCUGCCUGCUUGUCUUGCAGCGCCCUCGCCGCCCCCGAAAUGAAUUGGCGGCCUCGUCGCGGCCUCCCCUGCGUAGUAGCACAAACCUCGCAACGGGAACGUGACGGCGGCCACUGCCGUAAAACAACCCAAUUUUAUUAGAGUUGACCUCGAAUCAGGUAGGAAUACCCGCUGAACUUAAGCAUAUCAAUAAGCGGAGGA